This 46-nucleotide non-coding RNA is filed under the name Schistosoma mansoni. The record is from RNAcentral. Lineage: Eukaryota; Metazoa; Platyhelminthes; Trematoda; Strigeidida; Schistosomatidae.
GCAUUGCUGAGGAGUCCCAUAAUAGGACGAAACGGUCGUCCAAGGU